GGGUUUGGGGCUCAGUGGUAGAGCGCUUGCCUUGCACACAUGAAGCACUGAGUUCAAUCCUCAGCACCA
This is a non-coding RNA of Ictidomys tridecemlineatus (thirteen-lined ground squirrel), 69 nucleotides long. The record is from Rfam. Lineage: Eukaryota; Metazoa; Chordata; Mammalia; Rodentia; Sciuridae.